This 128-nucleotide non-coding RNA is filed under the name Rhodobium orientis. RNAcentral describes it as "Ruegeria cis8 sRNA". It matches the Rfam family "Ruegeria cis8 sRNA". Rfam says of the family: Cis-encoded. Lineage: Bacteria; Pseudomonadati; Pseudomonadota; Alphaproteobacteria; Hyphomicrobiales; Rhodobiaceae. The record is from Rfam by way of RNAcentral.
ACCGCCAGGAUCUUCGCGAUAUAGGGGAUCAGCGGCAGGUUGAGGAUCAGGAGGAUCAGGUUGCCGAGAUACAUGGAGAUGAUCACGGCCCAGAACACUUCCGGCUUGUCGACCAUCAGCCGCGGUCC